UACGUAGGUGGCAAGCGUUGUCCGGAUUUACUGGGCGUAAAGGGCGUGCAGGCGGUUUGUUAAGUUCAGGGUGAAAGCUCCCGGCUCAACUGGGAGAGGUCCUUGGAUACUGGCAGACUUGAGGAGGGUAGAGGAGAGUGGAAUUCCCGGUGUAGUGGUGAUAUGCGUAGAUAUCGGGAGGAACACCAGUGGCGAAGGCGGCUCUCUGGGCCCUACCUGACGCUGAGACGCGAAAGCGUGGGUAGCAAACAGG
This 253-nucleotide ribosomal RNA is filed under the name uncultured bacterium. Its description in RNAcentral is "partial 16S ribosomal RNA". It matches the Rfam family "Bacterial small subunit ribosomal RNA", at positions 524 to 776 of the family's 1533-position model. The record is from RNAcentral.